GGAAUAUUGGACAAUGGGCGCAAGCCUGAUCCAGCCAUGCCGCGUGAGUGAUGAAGGCCUUAGGGUUGUAAAGCUCUUUCAGUAGGGAAGAUAAUGACGGUACCUACAUAAGACGCCCCGGCUAAAUUCGUGCCAGCAGCCGCGGUAAUACGAAGGGGGCUAGCGUUGUUCGGAUUUACUGGGCGUAAAGCGCACGUAGGCGGAUUGGUCAGUUAGGGGUGAAAUCCUGGAGCUCAACUCCAGAACUGCCUUUAAUACUGCCAGUCUCGAGUCCGGAAGAGGUAAGUGGAACUCCUAGUGUAGAGGUGGAAUUCGUAGAUAUUAGGAAGAACACCAGUGGCGAAGGCGGCUUACUGGUCCGGUACUGACGCUGAGGUGCGAAAGCGUGGGGAGCAAAC
Molecule: ribosomal RNA, 398 nt
Filed under: uncultured bacterium
Lineage: Bacteria
Description: bacterial SSU rRNA
Rfam family: Bacterial small subunit ribosomal RNA
Source: RNAcentral